GUAAAAAGGACUGCGAUUCCUAGAGCAGCGUGGACAUAGGCACGUGGGUGCGUGUGGGAAACAGGAACCCACUGCUGCCUCUGAGGAGACGGGCUGAAAUCUCCAGCUGUGCAAUGCAGGAGCAUUCUGAAGCAGGAAAUAGCAGGGACAAGAUAACAGCGUUCGUGUGCUUGAGUGGACGUACAAACUGUGCAAGGAAUGUAUCAGACCAGAAUGAAGGCAGGUGCCUUCAAUACAGAAGGAGCUCCUGCCUCUGGAGGAAACCCCCGUCCUCUCUCCUGCUGAAGUGUUGCUGCCUCUCUGAUGCCAUCCCAUCCCUUACUUCUGCUUAGAAGAUACUAGUGAAAAUUGUCACUAAGAAGCCACGGUCUAAAACUCAUUUGGUUUUCCAGGCUUAUUCCUGGAAGGUAGGUGAAUAAUUAAACACCCAAUCGCCGCUGCUCCUUGGAAGGUGGGACUACGCAAGCGUCAGCACGGGACAGGUGCAAAUCGCAGGACACGGCCUCAGAGCACAAGAUACCAACGCAACGUGCAGGCGCACCAGAAGGCCCUCAGCGGCCUGCCGGCUGCUCAGCAGCCUGCUGCUGAUCUGUCCUAUUUUACGGGGUUGCACAUGGGAGUUGUCAGUCCUUGUUCCUUUUCGUUUGAACCACAUGAAGCUUUCUAGCCAUGGAAAGAAUGUGCAACAUAAAGCUUAAACUUUGUCCAGAAAUGUCACAGCCUCUAAAAAUUGAAGGAAUCUGGUAUAGAAAGUUUAGUUUGUGAUGAAAUGGUUCAUUCAAGAGGAG
RNAcentral lists this long non-coding RNA (788 nucleotides) under Apteryx rowi (Okarito brown kiwi). Its description in RNAcentral is "lncRNA (ENSARWG00000003599.1)". Lineage: Eukaryota; Metazoa; Chordata; Aves; Apterygiformes; Apterygidae. The record is from RNAcentral.